UACGGAGGGUGCGAGCGUUGUCCGGAAUCACUGGGCGUAAAGGGUGCGUAGGCGGGUCUUUAAGUCAGGGGUGAAAUCCUGGAGCUCAACUCCAGAACUGCCUUUGAUACUGAGGAUCUUGAGUUCGGGAGAGGUGAGUGGAACUGCGAGUGUAGAGGUGAAAUUCGUAGAUAUUCGCAAGAACACCAGUGGCGAAGGCGGCUCACUGGCCCGAUACUGACGCUGAGGUGCGAAAGCGUGGGGAGCAAACAGGG
RNAcentral lists this ribosomal RNA (254 nucleotides) under uncultured bacterium. Its description in RNAcentral is "partial 16S ribosomal RNA". It matches the Rfam family "Bacterial small subunit ribosomal RNA", at positions 524 to 777 of the family's 1533-position model. The record is from RNAcentral.